This 30-nucleotide non-coding RNA is filed under the name Mus musculus (house mouse). The record is from RNAcentral. Lineage: Eukaryota; Metazoa; Chordata; Mammalia; Rodentia; Muridae.
UCACAGGUUUGAAUGAUGCCAGCUCAGGGU